GGAAAGAUGACACCGGAGGAAAGAGACUUAUUCAAGUCCAGGUUUGAGGUGCCAGCGCAGCCAAUGAGAGACAGUUUCCCUCAGACCCCCCCAGGGAGGAGCCUGAAGAAGCUUCCGCAGCGACAACUACAAACUUCAUCCCUGGUUAGAAAACUCACAAUCAAAAGAUGCAGCUUACUGUUUUGCAUGUCGGCAUUUUUCCAGACAGAAAAGAGACCAUGGAGUUUGGCUGCACUCAGCAUUGAAUCAACGCACAAAAGCAUCCGAUCUCGAUCAGUUUGUGGAGCGUUUUGCAGAGCAGCAUGGAAAUCACCGCAUUCAGCUGUUACAGACAUGUCAACUUCAUGUUAUGCUCACUGGCGUCACAGGAUGAACUGACUGAGUGCAGGUGAGAUGACGGCUUCACGGCGGCAGAGUCGGCUCGCUGCACAGGAAGCAGAGGAGGAAGCAGAGGAACUUCGCAUUAGAGGGUUUUAGAUUGAAGACCCACAGUGAGAGAUUCAAACAUUUAGAAAGUAAGUUAAAAUCAGCCAUCAAAUGCAUGUGAUGGCAUUACAUACAAACAUCAGGGCUCUCCAUAAGGACAUGAAGUAGACAGCCAGUGGGGUCCAGGGGUUUGCCCACUCGCCCCGUUAAAAAAAUGUGCCCAUAACAGUCCAAAUUUGGUGGCCUCUGACAUUCUAAUGCCACUAAUCCAUCAUAUAUAGAUCUUAAUUAUGGAUAUCGUAAUGAGUUUGCCUACCUGACAUG
Chelmon rostratus (copperband butterflyfish) is the source of this 750-nucleotide long non-coding RNA. RefSeq lists it as uncharacterized. The record is from RefSeq and is a predicted model, not a curated record. The transcript is spliced from 3 exons. Lineage: Eukaryota; Metazoa; Chordata; Actinopteri; Chaetodontiformes; Chaetodontidae.